AUGGAUAGCGCUAGUGCCUGAUGGAUUCAGGCAGACGAGGUAGAGAAGUAUCGAAAUAGUCAGCGGAUGUCUCUCGGCAGCUUCAGCCGUUAUAUGGCGGAAAAACACGAUGGUAACGUCGUCGACAAGUU
Molecule: non-coding RNA, 131 nt
Filed under: uncultured Megasphaera sp.
Lineage: Bacteria; Bacillati; Bacillota; Negativicutes; Veillonellales; Veillonellaceae
Description: glmS glucosamine-6-phosphate activated ribozyme
Rfam family: glmS glucosamine-6-phosphate activated ribozyme aptamer
About the family: This entry contains a glucosamine-6-phosphate activated ribozyme that is found in the mRNA for GlmS.
Source: RNAcentral